RNAcentral lists this ribosomal RNA (446 nucleotides) under uncultured bacterium. RNAcentral describes it as "bacterial SSU rRNA". It matches the Rfam family "Bacterial small subunit ribosomal RNA", at positions 330 to 793 of the family's 1533-position model. The record is from RNAcentral.
UCCAGACUCCUACGGGAGGCAGCAGUGGGGAAUAUUGCACAAUGGGGGAAACCCUGAUGCAGCGACGCCGCGUGAGUGAAGAAGUAUUUCGGUAUGUAAAGCUCUAUCAGCAGGGAAGAAAAUGACGGUACCUGACUAAGAAGCCCCGGCUAACUACGUGCCAGCAGCCGCGGUAAUACGUAGGGGGCAAGCGUUAUCCGGAUUUACUGGGUGUAAAGGGAGCGUAGACGGCAGCACAAGUCUGGAGUGAAAUGCCGGGGCUUAACCCCGGAACUGCUCUGGAAACUGUGAAGCUGGAGUGCAGGAGAGGUAAGCGGAAUUCCUGGUGUAGCGGUGAAAUGCGUAGAUAUCAGGAGGAACACCGGCGGCGAAGGCGGCUUACUGGACUGUAACUGACGUUGAGGCUCGAAGGCGUGGGGAGCAAACAGGAUUAGAUACCCUUGUAA